Molecule: ribosomal RNA, 239 nt
Filed under: uncultured bacterium
Lineage: Bacteria
Description: partial 16S ribosomal RNA
Rfam family: Bacterial small subunit ribosomal RNA
Source: RNAcentral
UGAGCAAUCUGCCCUUCUCAUCGGAAUAAGCGUUGGAAACGACGUCUAAUGCCGAAUACGACCUCCUUUCGCAUGAUCGGAGGUGGAAAGCUCCGGCGGAGAAGGGUGAGCUCGCGGCCUAUCAGCUAGUUGGUGUGGGUAAUGGCCCACCAAGGCGACGACGGGUAGCCGGCCUGAGAGGGUGACCCGGCCACACGUGGGACUGAGACACGGCCCAGACCUCCGUACGGGAGGNAGCG